RNAcentral lists this long non-coding RNA (1367 nucleotides) under Oryctolagus cuniculus (rabbit). Its description in RNAcentral is "lncRNA (ENSOCUG00000034087.1)". Lineage: Eukaryota; Metazoa; Chordata; Mammalia; Lagomorpha; Leporidae. The record is from RNAcentral.
CCGUCCCGUCUGUCACCCCCACCCCAAGCCCCGCGUGGGGCUGCAGUGGAGAAGGGGCUGGUGGGUGAAGCCCUGGGCGGAGGUUCCCCCACCCUCCUCGCCCCCCCACCCCCGCCUUCCCAGGCCCUGCACUUGCCACUUUCCACCAGCCUGGUGCAGCCCCUGGUCUCAUCCUCACUGUGGGGUGCGGCCCGGCGGCCAGGAGGCCGGCUGGCGUUUCCUGUGCAUGCCAGCGAGGGCACCGCCGAGGCCCCAAGCUCCCACUCUGGCUCCAGUCCCUCCUCCCUCGGCGGUCCACCUGUACCUUCACGUCCUGACUGCUCAGCCUCAGCUGGGCUGCCUCCCAGGGACUCCAAGGCGGAUGUCCGGGUGAGCAGAGGUGAGGCCGGCCCAGGAGGGGCCCCAGAGGCCUCUGCAUCAUCUUCCUGCAAGCUUGCAGGCUCCGCCCCCUCCCCCCCUGGGGGGGGGGCACAGGACCGGCAGGAAGCAAAGGCUCCAGGAGCAUUGCCCGCCCAGCAGGGGAGGCAGGGCCAGUGGAACCUGCUCCCGGCCCUGCACCCCAAGCCCUUGCAGUGCGGGGGAAGAGAGAGGAGAGCAAGUCCCUGCCCACGGUGGAGGGGUGGCACCCGCUGGCGUGCAGGGAGAGAAGCAGGUGUUUGUGGGAGAAUCCAAGACCCCCACACCCACAGGCAUCAGGAUGCCAAGGUCGUGCUCCAACGCCCACAGCUGGCCGGGUUCCAGGGUCCUCACGCGAUGCCAGGGGCUCUGCCGCCGGCCCCGCCCCCAGGACCCCGCUCUGUCCGCUGGCACCCGGCCCCUCCUCCUGGUUCGUGGGGUGAACCUGCAGACAGGAGAUUUCUGUCUGUCUGUCUGUCCCCCUCUCUGAAAAGAUUUGAAGCUGGUCUGGUGUGGCCGACUCUGCACCUUCUGUCCUGUGAGUCGAUCAUGGCAGAGAGCUGGCGCGCGGGAGACUGGAGCAGGCCGGGGCAGAGGCAGAGCUGGGGGACCCUGGGGGGAAGGGAGCGGGAUCGUUUUUGCAUCACAACUGCUGUUCCAAGUGGAUUGUGUGCUGCCUUCAUUAAAAAGACUUUGUUAAAAAGAAAAUAUGUGGAGCCCCUGUCCGUCCCAGCACAGAACAUCAGGUUCAACCAGCGGGAGCGCAGCGAGAGGGGCCUGCGCCAGCGUCGCCGGGCUCCCACCGUCGCUGCCUCCGGCCACUCCUGCCUCAGCUCUGGGUUUACCUCGGGAGCCACGGGGGCUCGGGGCGGGGGAAUCUUGCCUACUCUCAGGGAACAGCGCUCCCAAACCUCAAGGCAGCUUUCCGGCUUCCCCUCUCAGCUGCUUUAUGGACAGCCUCUCUGACCCCU